This 82-nucleotide transfer RNA is filed under the name Pectinodesmus pectinatus. Its description in RNAcentral is "tRNA-Leu". Lineage: Eukaryota; Viridiplantae; Chlorophyta; Chlorophyceae; Sphaeropleales; Scenedesmaceae. The record is from RNAcentral.
UACAGCUAAGGAGACUUGAACUCCUAAGGACUAAGUCCACUACGUCCUUAGCGUAGCACGUUUACCAUUUCGUCAUAGCUGU